GAUGAACGCUGGCGGCGUGCCUAAUACAUGCAAGUCGAGCGAACAGACGAGGAGCUUGCUCCUCUGACGUUAGCGGCGGACGGGUGAGUAACACGUGGAUAACCUACCUAUAAGACUGGGAUAACUUCGGGAAACCGGAGCUAAUACCGGAUAAUAUAUUGAACCGCAUGGUUCAAUAGUGAAAGACGGUUUUGCUGUCACUUAUAGAUGGAUCCGCGCCGCAUUAGCUAGUUGGUAAGGUAACGGCUUACCAAGGCGACGAUGCGUAGCCGACCUGAGAGGGUGAUCGGCCACACUGGAACUGAGACACGGUCCAGACUCCUACGGGAGGCAGCAGUAGGGAAUCUUCCGCAAUGGGCGAAAGCCUGACGGAGCAACGCCGCGUGAGUGAUGACGGUCUUCGGAUCGUAAAACUCUGUUAUUAGGGAAGAACAAAUGUGUAAGUAACUAUGCACGUCUUGACGGUACCUAAUCAGAAAGCCACGGCUAACUACGUG
Molecule: ribosomal RNA, 497 nt
Filed under: uncultured bacterium
Lineage: Bacteria
Description: partial 16S ribosomal RNA
Rfam family: Bacterial small subunit ribosomal RNA
Source: RNAcentral